Molecule: ribosomal RNA, 492 nt
Filed under: uncultured bacterium
Lineage: Bacteria
Description: partial 16S ribosomal RNA
Rfam family: Bacterial small subunit ribosomal RNA
Source: RNAcentral
AGUGAACGCUGGCGGUAGGCCUAACACAUGCAAGUCGAACGGCAGCACAGUAAGAGCUUGCUCUUGCGGGUGGCGAGUGGCGGACGGGUGAGGAAUACAUCGGAAUCUACUUUUUCGUGGGGGAUAACGUAGGGAAACUUACGCUAAUACCGCAUACGACCUACGGGUGAAAGCAGGGGAUCUUCGGACCUUGCGCGAUUGAAUGAGCCGAUGUCGGAUUAGCUAGUUGGCGGGGUAAAGGCCCACCAAGGCGACGAUCCGUAGCUGGUCUGAGAGGAUGAUCAGCCACACUGGAACUGAGACACGGUCCAGACUCCUACGGGAGGCAGCAGUGGGGAAUAUUGGACAAUGGGCGCAAGCCUGAUCCAGCCAUACCGCGUGGGUGAAGAGGGCCUUCGGGUUGUAAAGCCCUUUUGUCGGGAAAGAAAAGCAGCAGGUUAAUACCCCGCUGUUCUGGCGGUACCCAAAGAAUAAGCACCGGCUAACUUCGUG